GAGUCGCUAGCUCAGCUGGUAGAGCACCGGCCUUUUAAGCCGAGGGUCCAGGGUUCGAGCCCCUGGCGACUCA
This 73-nucleotide transfer RNA is filed under the name Myxococcaceae bacterium. RNAcentral's name for it is "tRNA-Lys". It matches the Rfam family "tRNA". From Rfam's summary of the family: Transfer RNA (tRNA) molecules are approximately 80 nucleotides in length. Their secondary structure includes four short double-helical elements and three loops (D, anti-codon, and T loops). RNAcentral also lists the same sequence under 2 other names. Lineage: Bacteria; Pseudomonadati; Myxococcota; Myxococcia; Myxococcales; Myxococcaceae. The record is from RNAcentral.